Molecule: ribosomal RNA, 461 nt
Filed under: Hepatoporus orientalis
Lineage: Eukaryota; Metazoa; Arthropoda; Malacostraca; Decapoda; Xanthidae
Description: partial 16S ribosomal RNA
Rfam family: Bacterial large subunit ribosomal RNA (bases 322-461)
Source: RNAcentral
AAAGGUAGCAUAAUCAUUAGGGGUUUAAUUGGAACCUGGUAUGAAGGGUUGGACAAAGGAAAGACUGUCUUUGUAAUAUAAAUUGAAAUUUACUUUUAAGUGAAAAGGCUUAAAUAAAUCAGAGGGACGAUAAGACCCUAUAAAGCUUUAUAAAUAAUUUAAAUUUGAUUAAUUUUAAAGUAUAAAAAUUGAGUUUAAUUGUUUUAUUUUGUUGGGGUGAUGUGAGUAUAAUUGCUAUUAACUGCUUAUAAGAAAUACUAUAAACGAUAGAGUCUAUAAUUAUGAUCCUUUUUAAAGAUUAAAGAUCUAAGUUACUUUAGGGAUAACAGCGUUAUUUUUUUUGAGAGUUCAUAUCGAAAAAGGAGAUUGCGACCUCGAUGUUGAAUUAAAAUAUCUAUAUAAUGUAGUCGUUAUAUAAGAGGGUCUGUUCGACCUUUAAAUUUUUACAUGAUUUGAGUUCA